GAUGAACGCUGGCGGCGUGCCUAAUACAUGCAAGUCGAGCGAACGGACGAGAAGCUUGCUUCUCUGAUGUUAGCGGCGGACGGGUGAGUAACACGUGGAUAACCUACCUAUAAGACUGGGAUAACUUCGGGAAGCCGUAGCUAAUACCGGAUAAUAUUUUGAACCGCAUGGUUCAAAAGUGUAAGACGGUCUUGCUGUCACUUAUAGAUGGAUCCGCGCUGCAUUAGCUAGUUGGUAAGGUAACGGCUUACCAAGGCAACGAUGCAUAGCCGACCUGAGAGGGUGAUCGGCCACACUGGAACUGAGACACGGUCCAGACUCCUACGGGAGGCAGCAGUAGGGAAUCUUCCGCAAUGGGCGAAAGCCUGACGGAGCAACGCCGCGUGAGUGAUGAAGGUCUUCGGAUCGUAAAACUCUGUUAUUAGGGAAGAACAUAUGUGUAAGUAACUGUGCACAUCUUGACGGUACCUAAUCAGAAAGCCACGGCUAACUACGUG
Molecule: ribosomal RNA, 497 nt
Filed under: uncultured bacterium
Lineage: Bacteria
Description: partial 16S ribosomal RNA
Rfam family: Bacterial small subunit ribosomal RNA
Source: RNAcentral